Molecule: long non-coding RNA, 690 nt
Organism: Xiphias gladius (swordfish)
Lineage: Eukaryota; Metazoa; Chordata; Actinopteri; Istiophoriformes; Xiphiidae
Exons: 3
Source: RefSeq, a predicted model, not a curated record
UCGUCCUCCAUGGGCUUCGAGUCCUCCUUCCUCUCCUUCACUUCCGUGGUGCCUGUGUUUUGCAGACGAGGGGGAGAGGGAGACAUCGACAUCGUGUGACUGCGCUCGUGACCUUCCAACCUGUGGUCGUCGCCGGCCUCCACCGUCACCGUGUUUUGGGGAAUAUGUUCAUGUGCUUUUAUUCUGAAGAACAGGCCUCGCUCUCAUACAGAUCACAGCACUUAACAUCGGUUUGACACAGCUUAAGACAUCAGUGGUGUGGCUCGUUUUAAAGUCGACCCCUUGAAAAUGAUACCAGGUGAUGCUGCCAACUCUGGAAGAAGGGGUGUGGCUUAAAAAAAUCUGAAAAUGAUAAGAGAGAGGGAAGCACAUUGGGUGAGGAGUCCCUCCUCACUCUAUCUCUCUGAUCUGGUGGUUGGGGGAGGUAUGACAGCGAUGACAUGGAGAGAAAGGAGGUAAAAGCGGACCAGCUGGGAUGCCGAGAGGAGCAUCAACGACUUACACGGGGCGUUUUAGAGGAAGCUCAAGUGAACAUAUUUGGCUUUAACCCCAGUUGCAUACAGUUGGCUUUAGGCCUGGUAAACGUACCCAUUGGUUUUCGUCUUGUCUUCUGUGCUGCGCUGAUGUCGCUGCGGAUUUGAGGUGGCAUUUCACCGCAAAAUAUUAGAAAUAAUAAUAAUAAAAAAAAAG